UUGUUUAGCAACAGCAAACUGGUACUUGGCCAUCUUUUCCUUCAGAGAUGAUGAUCGCCUCAGCACAGAGCGACCUGAAGCAGAAGAGAGGAUCAAAUACUGCGAAGUGCUGCUCUGCCACCCUGGAAGAAUAAAACAACUGAUGGGUUCUGAAGAUCAGUUUAUGAAGGUUGUUCAAAGGCACUCUGGGCUUUUCAUAAGAGGCACGCGGGCUGGUUGGAACGUGCUGGUCAAGCUUUUCAUUCGUCAUCUCUUCCUUCUCCAUCCUUCUCUGGU
Long non-coding RNA from Pelmatolapia mariae (spotted tilapia), 276 nucleotides. RefSeq lists it as uncharacterized. The transcript is spliced from 3 exons. Lineage: Eukaryota; Metazoa; Chordata; Actinopteri; Cichliformes; Cichlidae. The record is from RefSeq and is a predicted model, not a curated record.